This 3023-nucleotide long non-coding RNA is filed under the name Sus scrofa (pig). Its description in RNAcentral is "lncRNA (ENSSSCG00050001219.1)". Lineage: Eukaryota; Metazoa; Chordata; Mammalia; Artiodactyla; Suidae. The record is from RNAcentral.
GCUCCCUGAGUCGCCACACACGUAAGAGGAAGGGCCUAUCUAGUCCUCAUCUUAUGAUGAAAUAACGGAGACACAGAAAGGUUAGGUAGAGCCUGACCUGUAACUGCCCGAUUGAAAAUCUCUGCCUUUUUCCCAGCCAGCCUUUUCGCUGGUACCUAGGGGUUUCUGGAAGUUUGGCCCACACCUGGCUGCCCGUGCAACCGCGUGUGCUCUGGGAGCCUUGUUUUCAGGUGGAGAUGAUGGGAGCACGAUUCUCAUUGCUUAUAUAGAACCCGCUUUAAGUCCUCUUACGUGGAUUAGCUCGUUUCACGAGGAGGAGGCGGGGCCGCUGCCUGCGAAGGAAAGACCCUCUCCUCCAUCAAGAAAACGUCUUCCGUGCUCCAGGAUUUGAUGCGUUAAGAAAGAAGCAGUACAUCUGGGGACAUGGUGUGGCCGAGGAUACCAGAAGGGGGUUGACGGUCCGAGGGAGUCUGGAGGAGAAAGGCACGGAGCAUGCAGGUAAGUGAUUGAAACUUUCCCAGCCUCGAGUUUCACAUCUAUGAAAUGGGUCUGAUGAUACCUCCCUUCAGGUGUUGUGAGGAGGAAAAAAAACGAGGAUGGCCCUUGGUACGGGGUAGGUAUGUAGUCAACAGCAGCUGUCAUUUAUUCUCCUGUUACCUUUUACACUGAGCGGUGUUGUCUUGGGCACAUUUUAAGAAAUGUGUACCAGGGAGCUUCCGUUGUGGAGCAGUGAAAACAAAUCCAACUGGUAUCUGUGAGGAUGCGGAUUUGAUCCCUGGCCUCAAUCAUGGAUCAGGGAUCUGGGCAUUGCCAUGAGCUGUGAUGUAGGUUGCAGACGUGGUUCAGAUCUGAUGUUGCUGUGGCUGUGGUGUAAGCCAGCAGCUGUAGCUCUGAUUCAGCCCCUGGUCUGGCAACUUCCAGAUGCCACACAUUCAGCCCUAAAAAGCAAGCAAGCAGACAAGCAAGCAAGCUAAGAAAGAAAGGAAAGAAAGAGAAAUUCGUACUCCUGUUUCUUCACCUCUAAAACAGGAAUUGGUGUUCUUAAGACUACCGAACUGAUAGAAAACCUAGCUCAGGGCUAGACACUCAGUGGCUUCUCAAUAUGCGAUACUCACUUGCCCUCUGGAUGCCCUGCCCUCACGCAGGGAUCCCACCCCCAGCCCCUUCAGCCCCCUUGCCUCCAUCCUGGAGAAGAUGCGGGUUCCAAGGACGUGAAAACCUCUCACCUCUUAAUGCUUUUUCUGCCUUCUGCUUGGGCUAAUUCCUUUAUCCUGGGUUCAUUAAGCUCGCGUCCAUCAAGCCUCACAGUCUAGGGAGGAGCUGGUGGUUUCAUUUCCAUUUUUAGAAUGCAGAGCACAAAGCACACUGUGAUUGAAGAUCCUGCUUGACAGCACUCAGAAACGCAUGGCAACUGCUGUCACCGAGCCCUUAAUGCACUUGCUCCCACAGCCCGUGUUUCGUGACCUCUCACCAGGUGCCAAUUAUAGCUGACCUGAUGCUGGGUCUGCCUGGAGUAGGCAGAGUCCCUGUAAUUCUGUUUGGUUACAGAGGACCUGUCAGGACUGAACAAAAUCAAAUAGUUUCGUGGUGAAUACUCACUUGCCCCCCCCCCCUUUUUUAAGCAAAAGAUGGUAGAUGGAGGAAAACAUCGCAGAUGAAAAAGAAUGAGCCCACUUGUGCUUGUAGGAGCUUCAGCAAGGUCUCAGCACAUAAGGUUGGGCCGAUGAGGCAAAGCAGUGGAAGCUGGGUGUUGGCCGCUUCUCUAUGACUCUUUCUCUGCAAUCCCUUGCAUGGUUACGGAAAAUAAGCCUGUGUCUGAGCAGUUUUCCUGAAUUUCCAAUAGAAAAAUGUAACAACUUGGUCUUUUUUUUUUUAAUGAUUUAGAAAACUUAUACUCCAAUUUAUUUUCUCUCUGAUAUUCUCUGAUUUUGUGUUACUAAUAGCAAGCAAAAUAACACACAUAUUUGUAGAGUUCACAAGACACUAUAAUCAUUGUAGAGACAAUAUUUCUUUAGGUUUAUGUACUUAAUGUACCUAUACCAUUUGCCCCUAAUUCUCUCUGGCACUUUUUUGUUUUUAUCUAUUUAUUUUUGUAAUGAUAGUUGAGGUACAGUAUUCACCUGUGUCUUAUGGAAAUAUCUAUACAGGGUGGAAACUUGGUGAAUUUGGUCUUGCAGUUUUGCCCCCUGGGGCAGACAUUCUGCCCAUACCAACCAUUUUCUUUUGUUGUCAACCAUAUGCAAAGUUCACAUAAGUUUUUACUCAUUGCCCUACACAUGGUAAGAGCCACGUAAGUGGCAGCAAAGACUACGUAGUCAAGCAAUUUUGUAAAAAGCACAUGUUCAUGUCUCCGACUUAGUAGAUCUCUGCAUUAAAAGAGAAUUCUGAAAACAUUACAAAGUCACAGUUAGCUUGUUUCUUUUGCUCAGUAGCGGAAAUGGAGUUAAUGAGAAAUGCUAGUGGGGAAACGUGCUAAUUGCAAGCUGCUUCUGUGAGAUUUUGCUGUACUGCUGGAAGUUUGCAGUUUGAUGGCUUAGACAUUUUACGUGCAACUGGUGCCCUCUAGUGAUGGGGGAGCGGUUGCUGGCCACGUAGUGUAUCCUUUGAAAGCCAAAGUAUUCCACUCUUGGUAAAGUAUCCUUGUCCCCGUUUCCCGGGAAGGGAAAAAACGUGGAGAAGCUGCAAGGCAAGAAGCUGCUUUGGGGUGCCUUCGUAAGUCAGAAGGCAAGCAGCCAUCUGGAGCUUACAAGAUAAGGGUGUUGGGGUUCCCAUCAUGGCUCAGCGGUCAACGAACCCGACUAGCAUCCAUGAGGACAUGGGUUCGAUCCCUGGCCUCGCUCAUUGGGUUGAGGAUCCAGCAUUGCCAUGAGCUGUGGUGUAGGUCACAGACAGAGCUUGGAUCCCAUGUUGCUAUGGCUCCGGUGUAGGCCAGCGGCAACAGCUCCAGUUGGACCGCUAACCUGGGAACUCCCACAUGCUGCGGGUACGGCCCUACAAAGAGGAGAAGAUUAAAAAAAAAAAAA